CAGUAGCCGCGGGAAUACGUAGGGUGCGAGCGUUAAUCGGAAUUACUGGGCGUAAAGCGUGCGCAGGCGGUUUUGUAAGACAGGCGUGAAAUCCCCGGGCUCAACCUGGGAAUGGCGCUUGUGACUGCAAAGCUAGAGUGCGGCAGAGGGGGAUGGAAUUCCGCGUGUAGCAGUGGAAUGCGUAGAUAUGCGGAGGAACACCGAUGGCGAAGGCAAUCCCCUGGGCCUGCACUGACGCUCAUGCACGAAAGCGUGGGGAGCAAACAGGAUUAGAUACCCGAGUAGUCCCUGUCUCUUAUAC
Molecule: ribosomal RNA, 301 nt
Filed under: uncultured bacterium
Lineage: Bacteria
Description: partial 16S ribosomal RNA
Rfam family: Bacterial small subunit ribosomal RNA
Source: RNAcentral